Carassius auratus (goldfish) is the source of this 2745-nucleotide long non-coding RNA. RefSeq lists it as uncharacterized. Lineage: Eukaryota; Metazoa; Chordata; Actinopteri; Cypriniformes; Cyprinidae. The transcript is spliced from 3 exons. The record is from RefSeq and is a predicted model, not a curated record.
UCCUCCUGUGGGCUCAGGGAAAGUUCCUCUCACUCAGAGCAGUCUACAUCACUGGGUAUCUCAAUCAGGAAGCAGACAUCCGUGAGCUCUUCUGGAAGGAAGAGUUUGUCCAGGUGGAAGUAGAUCUAUUUGUGUUGCAGGGAAUGACACACUGUCUGCUCUGGUUCACCCUCAAACAUCCUUCUUUGCUUCGGCUGGAUGCCAUGGUGCAAACGUGGCCAAGGCUUUGUCUGUACACUUUCCCCUGAUUGCUCUGCUCCCGGGAGUUCUGGAGAGAGUACUCCAGGACAGGGUCUGUUCUUUGCUAGUAGCCCAACACUGGCUGGCCCGAGUAUGGUUUUCGGACCUGGUGUGCCUCCUCGAAGGCUUUCCGCUGAAGACUCCGAUCAGGAGGGACCUCCUCUCUCAGGCAAGGGGCAUCAUCCUUCAUCCCUGCCUUGGAAGUUGUGGAAGCUGUGGCCGUGGUCCCUGGUCUCUGAGACAACUGAAGUUGUUGAGACCAUAAAACUCCUGUUCAGAGUACACACAACAAGGAACCAGUACUCCUUGAAGUGGAAACUUUUCACUUCCUGGUGCAGACAGCAAUUGCAGGACCCAGUCAACUGCCCAGUUGGUACAGUUCUGGAGUUUGUGCAGGGUUAUCUCCCUCCACUCUAAAGGUAUACACGAUGGCCUUAGCUUCUUACCACGGCCUUCUGGGUAGUCACUUGUUCCACUUGUCAGUGUUUCCUCCAUGGCAUCCUGAGGCUGAGACGAGUACAGUGCACAAAAGUGCCAUCCUGGAGGGUUUGUGUAAUAUCUCCUUUGAACCCAUAGAGGAAAGUUUCAGACAAAUUCAGAUUCUCUCUCCUCACGAUUUCCUCAUUGAAAAGGAUCACGGAUCUUCAGGCACUUUCAGUAUCAGGCCUGGAGUUUGCUCCGGGCAUGGUUAGGACAUUCCUUUACCUGAGGGUCUGGUAUGUCCCUAAGGUGCCUACUUCUAGGCCAGGGCCUUUUGUACUACAGGCAUUUUGUCCUCCUCCGUUAAAGGCUUAAUCUGCUCUGUCCAGUACGUGCACUGGAUGCUUACACACACAGCCCCAUAGCGUAAGGCAGAUCAGCUGUUUGUUUACUUUAUUUGUUCUGCCCAAGAAAGUUCUCUGGCAUCCUGUCACCUAUGUGGGUCAGAGCACACUCGACCAGGAGUAUGACGGCCUUUAAUUUUGGGCGUGGCACUGCAGGACAUUUUGUGGUCCACUCUGCACACAUUUGUCUGCUUUGAUAAACUGGUCGUGGCCUCUACCCCAGGAUCCCAAGUCCUCUUGUACUGAUGUGCUCAUGAAUACACACACAGGAAGAAUCUUGAUAGUAUGGUGCAGUGGCUAUUCUCGCCCCCAAAGUAUUUCUUGAUGGAGUUUGAGUUCCUGAAGGGGAACAUCCCUAGGUUACAUAUUUAACCAUGGUAAAUGAGGCAUCUGCAUCCCUGUGGGAGCUAAUAAAUUUAAGGUAGUUUGCGCUCUGCCGGAUGCCCUUUUAUGCUUCCUUGUGACAACUCGCUUCUAUAUUGAAUCUUAGCUUAGCAUCUUGUUCCCUCAGAGGACCAUGGUAACAUAUGUAAUCUAGGGAUUUUCCUGCAGGUUACUGGGUGAAGUGUGGCACUAAUGAGUUUUGAUUUCUGUUUUCUGUAGGGUUUGCAGUUUCUCUCAGCAUCUCCUGAAUCUAAAGAUGUUAAUGACGAUCCCUACAUUUCUCUCUUUUCUGAUGGUCUGAGAAAAUUUGUCCAUCAGCUAAGAGACAAACUGGAUGAUUUCAGUAAAGAGCAGCUCAAGAAGAUCUCAGACAGAGCCACAUUCACCAACAUUGUUCUCUGGAUGAGGAACGACUUUCUAAAAUAUUCCAAACAGCUCACUCUGGAUCUGAACACAGUGAAUAAUCACCUCUAUCUGUCUGAGAACAACAGAGUGAUUACUAACAUUACCACAGUACAGUCGUAUCCCGAUCAUCCAGACAGAUUUGAUGGAUUGAAUCCUCAGGUUUUAUAUAGAGAGAGUGUUUGUGGACGCUGUUACUGGGAGCUGCAGUGGAGUGGAGAAAUUGGUGUGUCUAUAUCAGUGUCAUACAAGAGCAUCAGCAGGAAGGGAUCUACUAAUGAGUGUUGGUUUGGAUUUAAUGAUCGGUCCUGGAGUUUUAUCUGUCGUCCCUCCAGUUACUCAUUCAGACAUAAUUACAUAAAGACUGUUCUUCCUGUGAAAUCCAUCAGUAGGAAAAUAGGAGUGUUUGUGGAUCACAGUGCAGGAACUCUUUCCUUCUAUAGCAUCUCUGACAUAAUGAGCCUCAUCUACACAGUCCAGACCACAUUCACUCAGCCACUCUACCCUGGGUUUUUGGUUUCUAGGGGAUCAUCAGUGAAACUAUGUUGACGAAUCAGAAUAGACCGAUGAGAGGUUCUACCCAUUAUGCUUUGAGUAGUAUGAUAAAUCAUUAACAGUGAGAUGUCACAGAGUCUCUUCGCUUCAUAACAUUAACAAUGCAGCUGAACCUCUGUCCCUGAAAUAACAUGUCAGAAUAAAUGUGUAAUAAAUCCUCAUAUAGACAGUAAGAUCAGUGUGUGUGAGACAAUGAGUGACCAUGUGUUUCUGUGCUUUUCUCAACCUCUUUUUCUGUUUAUUUAAUUUUAAUGUAGUGUCACAUCAAUCAUUUAUAUUAUUACUAUCAUACUUACCUUUCAAUUAAAAUGAACAGUCAAUAAAUCAUUUUCAUUAUUCA